RNAcentral lists this small nuclear RNA (83 nucleotides) under Castor canadensis (American beaver). Lineage: Eukaryota; Metazoa; Chordata; Mammalia; Rodentia; Castoridae. The record is from RNAcentral.
GUGCUUGCUUCCACAACACAUAUACAGAGAUUAGCAUGGCCUCAGUGUGAGGAUGACACACUCAUGAAGCAUUCCAUAUUUUU